UACGAAGGGGGCUAGCGUUGCUCGGAAUCACUGGGCGUAAAGCGCACGUAGGCGGCUUUUUAAGUCAGGGGUGAAAUCCUGGAGCUCAACUCCAGAACUGCCUUUGAUACUGAGAAGCUUGAGUCCGGGAGAGGUGAGUGGAACUGCGAGUGUAGAGGUGAAAUUCGUAGAUAUUCGCAAGAACACCAGUGGCGAAGGCGGCAUCCUGGACCAAUUCUGACGCUGAGGAGCGAAAGCCAGGGGAGCAAACGGG
This 253-nucleotide ribosomal RNA is filed under the name uncultured bacterium. RNAcentral describes it as "partial 16S ribosomal RNA". It matches the Rfam family "Bacterial small subunit ribosomal RNA", at positions 524 to 776 of the family's 1533-position model. The record is from RNAcentral.